AAAUUGAAGAGUUUGAUCAUGGCUCAGAUUGAACGCUGGCGGCAGGCCUAACACAUGCAAGUCGAACGGUAACAGGAAACAGCUUGCUGAUUCGCUGACGAGUGGCGGACGGGUGAGUAAUGUCUGGGAAACUGCCUGAUGGAGGGGGAUAACUACUGGAAACGGUAGCUAAUACCGCAUAAUGUCGCAAGACCAAAGAGGGGGACCUUCGGGCCUCUUGCCAUCGGAUGUGCCCAGAUGGGAUUAGCUAGUAGGUGGGGUA
Molecule: ribosomal RNA, 262 nt
Filed under: Escherichia coli
Lineage: Bacteria; Pseudomonadati; Pseudomonadota; Gammaproteobacteria; Enterobacterales; Enterobacteriaceae
Description: partial 16S ribosomal RNA
Rfam family: Bacterial small subunit ribosomal RNA
Source: RNAcentral